This 292-nucleotide ribosomal RNA is filed under the name Bacteroides thetaiotaomicron. RNAcentral describes it as "partial 16S ribosomal RNA". It matches the Rfam family "Bacterial small subunit ribosomal RNA", at positions 1 to 278 of the family's 1533-position model. The record is from RNAcentral. Lineage: Bacteria; Pseudomonadati; Bacteroidota; Bacteroidia; Bacteroidales; Bacteroidaceae.
CUUUUACAAUGAAGAGUUUGAUCCUGGCUCAGGAUGAACGCUAGCUACAGGCUUAACACAUGCAAGUCGAGGGGCAGCAUUUCAGUUUGCUUGCAAACUGGAGAUGGCGACCGGCGCACGGGUGAGUAACACGUAUCCAACCUGCCGAUAACUCGGGGAUAGCCUUUCGAAAGAAAGAUUAAUACCCGAUGGUAUAAUCAGACCGCAUGGUCUUAUUAUUAAAGAAUUUCGGUUAUCGAUGGGGAUGCGUUCCAUUAGGCAGUUGGUGAGGUAACGGCUCACCAAACCUUCG